RNAcentral lists this long non-coding RNA (766 nucleotides) under Sitophilus oryzae (rice weevil). RNAcentral describes it as "uncharacterized LOC115879360". The record is from RNAcentral. Lineage: Eukaryota; Metazoa; Arthropoda; Insecta; Coleoptera; Curculionidae.
AUACAUUAAAAUACGCAACCAACCGUCAUUGAACCGUCCAAUCAGAUCAAAGGAGUAAUCGUUGUAGAUCGUGCGUUAUCGAUGAUGUUCGGUACCUGGAGAAAAUUGACAAUUGACAAGAGAAUUAAUUGUUUAUUAUUUUUGACUUUUUAGUUCGUUUAAUUUAAUAAUUACUAAAACCAGUAGUUCGAAAGAUAUAUUUAAAAAUAAAAGAUAAAAAUCCAAAAAAUUAAUUAUCUAUUAACGUGGAUUUGGACGACAAUAGGUUUUUAGUUUGUGAUGUUUCAUGUGAUGAUCAUUUUCAUGUUCAUCGUCUUUGAAUUGACAUGAGGAUAUCUAUGGAAAAGUAACUAAUCUGAAAGUAAGCCAACAUAUCGUUUGUCCUUUGUGUGCUAAAGAAAAGAUUUUCUUUUCGCAUCGUGAGGAAGUAUUACAUCAAUUAAAAAAUGUUAGGAAGUUGAUUACUUGUCAUGGAAAAGUAUACCAAUGGAAAUUAUUUGUUAAAGAAGUAUAAUUCUAAGGGUUUUAAGAAUAAAUUGGUUGAACCCAAAAUCUGGAGGAAGUACCUAUAUCCAUACACAGAAUAUGCCCAUUAAGAAUACUAGUCCAAAUUUGCUUUAAUGGAACGAUUAGGGCCCGAUAUAUUUGAAACUCAUGUUGGACAUAGUAUUGAGUUGGGUAGAAUAUUAUUCUACGUUAAGUGAGGAUAUCAGAUACCUAUUAUUGUACUGUAUUUUAAUAUAUACAUUAGAAUUGUUGGUUUUUU